RNAcentral lists this ribosomal RNA (275 nucleotides) under uncultured prokaryote. RNAcentral's name for it is "partial 16S ribosomal RNA". It matches the Rfam family "Bacterial small subunit ribosomal RNA", at positions 524 to 798 of the family's 1533-position model. The record is from RNAcentral.
UACGGAGGGUGCAAGCGUUGUUCGGAAUUAUUGGGCGUAAAGGGCGCGUAGGCGGUUGUGAUAGUCAGAUGUGAAAUCCUCCGGCUUAACUGGAGAACUGCAUCUGAAACUUCAUAGCUAGAGUACAGGAGAGGGAAACGGAAUUCCCGGUGUAGAGGUGAAAUUCGUAGAUAUCGGGAGGAACACCAGUGGCGAAGGCGGUUUCCUGGCCUGAUACUGACGCUGAGGCGCGAAAGCGUGGGGAGCAAACAGGAUUAGAUACCCGGGUAGUCCCU